RNAcentral lists this long non-coding RNA (2674 nucleotides) under Gallus gallus (chicken). RNAcentral describes it as "lncRNA (ENSGALG00010018357.1)". Lineage: Eukaryota; Metazoa; Chordata; Aves; Galliformes; Phasianidae. The record is from RNAcentral.
GCUCAUCCUAUGGCAGAGGUGGAAGAAGGAGCCCGGUGCCACGUGACCAGUGCCCUGGCUUGCAGAAGGAGUGUGAAACAAGUGAGUUAAGGUGGGAACGAGUACUUCUUUCUUUCUCCUCUUCCGCCAUGAAAUAGCAACUUCUAAAAAAGGGGUGCUGCAGAUGGUAAAGUCUUAAAUUACCACGGUGAGCUUUGCCGGAGGGCGUCUCUGGUCCCCUUAGAUGGAGCCCGUCUGCAGCUGAUUCACAGAAGGUCACGUUUGCCUGUCCUGCCCUACUCCUGAGCUUACUCAUGUAGUCAGCGCGGCUGACAGGGAUGAAAGAGCGGAACUGCUUGAACACAUUUGAUAUGGCUCUAGACAGGCAGACUGAUUUGCAAACUCAAAGCACAGGAGAGACUGAGAGCGAUUGCAGCGGAUUACUAAUUAGCUCGGAAACACAGAGGCGAGGCGUGAGGGAGGAACGUGGCUGCAGCUGAGUGGAAAGGUCAAUCUGAAAAGGAACAAACAGCGAGAACAGAGCAAAAGACUGUAGCUGGGAAACAGCCAGAGAUGUGUGGUGUCAGAAUUUGUGUGAUGGUCAAACAACAGCCUUCAAAGGAGUAGCCUAGCAGUACUGUGAGGCAGGUUUGUUAACAGUGUCAGGAGCUGAGCGUGCUGUGAUGCCUGGGGUACUGCUCAAGGCUAGAGGUGGCAGGGAAGAGGAAAUGUGAAACUCGCAAAUAUCUUUCUGUCCUAUUUGGCUGAUAAAGGUACCUGUCUACUUUCUAUCAUUUGCUGCCUUUCAGAAGACUUGCAUGUUACUGUUUCUCAGCCAGCAGCCCAGUCAGCAGGUAUUUCAGAAUAACAGAAAUUAUUUCAGCUAACUGGAGAAAUACAUACUUCUAUGCACCAGGUAACUUCAAAGACAAUUCUGUCAAUAGGGACAGCGUAUUUCCAGCGAGUCUGAGACAUUUAAAAGUAGUAGGGCUGCAGAGUUCAUUCCAACUGGAAGCUCAGGAAGCACAACAUAAGUAGCACGUUGCCAGCUCGUCAGCUGAAGCAUGGUGAUGUGCCUGUGCUUGUGGAAUGGCUGAUAUUUUCAUAGCAGAAAUGACUGACAGAGCAACGCUGUCCACAGCUCCAGGCUGCACUGCUACAGGAUGAGUUUCGAUGGCUUGAACUACUGCUGAAAUCCCUUUCUCUGUUCUAUCAAGAAAGACACUGAUCUGAAUUUAGCUAACAGUUUUUAGGCCACACUUAUACUGCACUCAGAGAGGAUCGAUUGAUUUAUUUAUAGCAGUAGUUCAAAAUUUUUGGAGUUGGAAAUUUCCUUGUCUUUCUCGUAACAAAUCAACAUCAAUACAAAUGCUAAGAGAACAUCAUCAAAAGAAAAGAAAAAAAGAAAAAAGAAAAAACUUGAAGCUAGACUCUUAGAUAGAUUUUACUUUCCAAUUGUAUGUUAUAAAUGUCCAAAACAGGUUGGAGAGAACUCCUCUACGCCUAGGUAAGUAAUAGGUGAAUUACACAGUAGUAGAUAUAUUUAAGGUUUUAAGACUAUCUGCUCUGGAACAUCCCUAACUACAGUGAAAUGCACAGAUAAUUACUUUCACAGUUUAGGGUGAGAAAUAAAAGAAAGGAAAAACUUCCUUCCAGCUAAAAUUGGUAAGGGGCAUAGUCAGAUAAACAAAAUAAGAACUUAACAGCACUCUUGGCCAGGACACCAGGCCUACUGAUUAUGCAGCUGUGAACAUGCAAAGCCAGAGCUUCAGAAAGUGAUUUUUAAAACCACAGACCAAAGGUAACAGGCUCCAAAGUGCUAGCCCCUACACGCUCUAUACAGGACAGUUAUUUAGGGCAAACCCAGGUGCAUAACUGUGAAGGACGCAUACCUUGAACUUUCUUCCAGUACUGUUCUCAUAUCCCCCUCUGUUUUUGCCCUCAGAGAGAUUUAUAUUCCUUCAGCUUAAGUGGCACUUGAGUGUAGAGUGGAGGAGCUGGUAGCUGAUAUGGCCAUGAACAAGACAGGUGGUGACUUUAGAAGGAGGCUCGCUCUCCACUGUCCAUGGGCUUGGGGCAGGAGAAUUAGGCUAAUCUUGUACAACCUCUACUCCUUUCAUUUCUUACACAGAUUCAUUCACCUUUUAUCUUGCAUGAAAUGCAGGGGAUGCUCUUGGAAUACCAGGGCAGCCAUUGAACAGUAUCAAAGAACCAAGAGGCAUACCCUGCAAUACCAACCAGCUUUGACAAUGGGGAGAAGGGACUACUCCACAUCUAUAAAUAUUUAGGAUUAUUCAUCAAUUCUUUUCAUUUUGCAGGUCCUUUUCUUCUGCGUUCUCAUAGCUUAAUGCCUCCACUGGACUGCUUCCGAAGGAGCAGUCUUUCUGCAGGUGCAGUGUUGUAACAGCUGUGAAACAUUAGUCACCGUUUUAUCAGUGUUAAAACGUUCAAGACAAUGCUUCUAAGAGCACUAUCACUCAACAUACUAUCUAGUAAUUCUAUUGCAACAAGUCAGAAGAUUGAAUAAAACCUUCCAUUCAUGUUGCUCAUCUUGUUCUGUACCCGUGACUGGAGAUCAGCAAGUCUGAGUAAACCCCUUCCAGCUGUAAGCUCUGUGUGUUUAUACUGCAACAGUUCAGUAAAUCCAUUCAGCUUCCAGUAAGAAAUGUCUUUGUUUAUGGCUCUUUUACGAUAC